ACCCAGAUCGACCCUAACAUUUUUAACAUUUUGAUGUCUACUGCCGGUACUGGUUAGGUAUGUUAGGGUUACAAUGCAAAUUAAAAAUAAAAUGUAAAAUAAUGAAUGUUGAAGGUACAGUGAACAUGUACACAUCUGUUGCAUAAUUAUCACUUUCAUUUCAUUUCAUUUCAGUUUGAUAUACUGUAGUGGACGGAUCAGCAGGGGAGGUAACUAGAGUCCAGAUUGGGACUAGGGCGUAACUUGCCGACAACAAAAAAAAGGAGAAAAUUUUAGUGUGAUGUAAAAGUAAAGCAGAGUGACUAGAGACCAGUAACUUCAGAAUUGAAGAGAUGCAGGUCUUUGUUCUACAUGGUGAAAGAGGGAAUUAUAGUGGAUAUUUGGAUUGAUCAGUGAAACCUGUGAAGUGUUAGUGAAGCAGAAUAGUUACAGAUCAUAAGAGAUGCAGGUCUUUGUUCAGCAUGGUGUAUAUGGAAAACAUAGUGGAUGGCCAGCAUAGAAAACAUUUAACGAUGUGAAGCAACAGUCAAGCAGAAUGUUUACAGACCAUUAAUUCAGAACUGACAAGAUGCAGGUCUCUGUUCUACAUGCUGUAUGAGGGAACUAUUGUGGAAUUUUGGAUUUCAUGGCAGUCAUAGAAAUAUUUAAUAACCAGAUAAUUUAUAUUAGAACCAUUUAUCACUUACAAGCUGCAUUUAGAGUUACAGAAUAGCUGAACAGAUACUAUUAGUUAAAAACAAACAAACUCGUCUUUCAUUCAUAAAACAAAUUUUACAGUUCAAGGGAGCCAACUCAGAUUUAAAAAAAACAACACUAAAAUGCCCUUGCUUUCACAGAAAUUGUCACCUUUCAGGAUGUAAUCAGUUUUAUAGUUUUGGAUCGAGUAUGAACUACAUUGGCAUUUUAGAAUAGAUAGAUGCUUCAAUAAUUACUAUAAAAUUUUAUGCAACAUUGUAUUUUCAUAACCAAUUAACUUAUACCAUAUCAUGUAUUUAUACAGGUCUAUAUGACUGAGAUGUGUGUACCAGUCUAUCAGGCUAUCCCAUUCUGUCCAGUCAACAAAUUGGCAAUGACUACAUGGAUUCUCAAGUAACUUGGCAUUACUUAUCACAGUAACAAAGAUAGAUUGCAAAUGUUUUUAGAGAAAUAUAUGAACUAGAGCUAUCAGCAGUAUGCCAGAGACACAGCAACAAAUACACACUGUUUUGCACAGAUUUGUGUUCCACCUGUAUGGCCUUAGUGGAAUUGUCAUAAAAUAAGAUAGGAUAGUUAGCUGAAAAUCUGGAAAGGGUCCACCUCUGCCAUGGAAGUUUGAAAGCUGCCAUAAGGCCUUUACUAUCAGACAAAUCACAUUUACCUCUGGCUGAGUGGAGGAGAACAGAUUUGCAGGAGCAGCCAGUGUCCAAGGAAACCCACAGCCAUUCUAAAUAUAGGAACAACACAAUCAGACAAGUUGGCAAGAUUCAAGAGUGGUGACAUUCUGCCCAAGAUUCAAGUCUGGAGAUUCAAUUGGCUGAUUUUAUAAUCUUUUUUUUUAUUAAAGUUUAAAAAUGACAUUGACUUAAGACUGCAUGUAUAUUGUUUUCAGUCAAAGGCUUUUCUAUUCAACACAUUAUGAUCUGGAAAAAAACAAUAUUGGAGACAAGUUUGUAUAACAAAAUGAAAGAAAGAAAAAGGUUUUUAUGUUACAAAGAUUUUUUUAAAAACAUACUAAGUGACAUUAUCAAAGAGGAUACUACACGAGUGUCUUUUCAUAUUAAAUGAAGUUAUUAAACAAGAUUAAUAAAACAAUAAAAUGCGAGGCGAGGCUGAGCAUUGUAAUAAUUUUAUACAACGAGUUUAAUAAAGUCAGUGUGGAAAGUCACAAAUGUAAUAUUCUUUUUAUCACGUGUUAGCUUUUCCUGCCGAAACACAGAAAUUCUACUUUCUUUAACUAUUAUAAACAAGUCAAUUUGACCAACGUCUCCUAUACUAUAAGUGACGUCGACGUCAAAGCUUUAUUACACUAGUGUAUUAUCAUUUUUAUGUAAUGGCUUUAUUUCACUCCCGCAACGUCAAACAUGUGAUAAAUGUCUUUUAAAUAUACAAGACUACAGUAAUUGCUUUUUUAAAAGUUUACAGAAAGUGAAAAAAGAAACAGCUUUUUCAACCUGAAGAUAUGUUACAACAAUUUAAAGGACUUUUACAAAGAAAAUCAUUAUUUAUGUCACAAGUUACAUACCGGUAGUUCCUAGCUAUAUGACUUACGUUUACUUUCAACUGUAUUGCAUGACUUUUGUAAAUUUUAGCAGUUGAGUCAUUACCACAAAAAUAUUGUAACUGACUUCCUAAUUUUUGGCUAGUUGAUCUAUUCCAUCUGUUUUCUUGAAGUUUACUGCAAAAAAGUAAUAAUUAAAACUGGAAAUGAUGCUUUUCUGACUUUCAUUUUUGAAAAUGUUGAAUCAUAAUCUGAAGGAUCUGUAAACAACAUGAUACUAGUUCAUUAUUUCAUAACUCCUGAUAUAUAGUGCUGGUCCAUAGUUUGUACUGUUGACCAGUCUGUAGUUCCACACUAAAGUUUGCUUGGCUAAAGUCAAAAUUUGAAGGAAAAAAUAUGAAAUAUUUCUGAUGUCAUGUAGUAAAACAAAAGUGUGAAAAUGAAUUUCUUAGGUCCUGUAAUAAAACACUUACUGAAUGGCUUGCCAGUCAAUUGUCAGAACUAUUUGCCCUUGGUCCUUUUGACCUCAGAUUAUAGUUUUGACUAUUGACCAGCAAGUAAUUCAAUAGGUAUGUACUAUUGACCAUUUAUCCUCUGGAAAUACUGUACAACUAUCGACCUUAAGUGUUCAACAGUUAAAAUUAUACAGCCAAAUAAAUGGCUAUAGACCCUCAUCAGAAAACUAUUGACUGAGACAAAGGCAAGGGUAAUAGGAUACUGAUGAUGGUCAAAGUCAUUUUGAAUGAUUUAAACCCAAUGACCACUUUAAAGGUAGGUAGUUGUUUAUUGAACAACAGGUAAAAGAAUUAAGAAGGUGCUACCUUGUAGAUACGUCAUUGCUAUUAUUGUUAUGGUUUCCAGGCAGUACGGGUAGAAUUAGUAUAAACAGGUAUUUGAUUUGUAUUUGUUUAGAUUGCCUCCCGAUGAGCUGUUGUGAUCACUCUGCGUCUGUAGUCUAUCAUCAUUGUCAGUCAUCAAUAAUUUAACUAGAGGUCACAGUUUUGUCCAGAUCUUAAUGAAAAUUGAUAAGAAUGCUACUAUCAAUAAAAUCUGGACAAGUGUCUUGUUUAUGGCUAGGUCAUCUUGGAUCAAAAACUAGGUCAUGAGGUCUAAUAUUUGGAAAACUUUGUUAACACUCUAGAGACCACAUUUUCUACACCCUCUUAAUAAAACUUUGUCAGAAUGUUUGUAUAGAGAUGCUACAGUCUCUAUUUGAUUUUUGUUGAGCCCGCUUGCGGAAACGAAGACAUAGUUGUCCAAAUGGCUGUUCGGUGUAUGUGCAUGCAUCUGUCCGUGCCUCCAUCAGGAUUUGUUUGUCCGGACGAUAACUUUGACAUGCAUGGAGCAAUCUCGUUUAUAUUUGGCAUGACUGUUACUUUUUACCUUAGUGAGACAGAGUGUCAUGCGCAAACCACAGGUUUCUAUCUCAAAGGUCAAGGUCACACUUGGAGGUCAAAGGUUAAAUUCAAUAAUGACUUUGUCCAGAGCAUUUCUUCUUCAUGCAUGGAGGGAUUUUGAUGUAACUUGGCACAAAUGUUCACAACUAUGUGACACAGUGUCAUGCGCAAGAACCAGAUCCCUAGGUCUAAGGUCAAGGUCACUCUUAGAGGUCAAAGGUCAGAUACAAGAAUGACUUUGUCCGGAGCAUUUCUUUUUCAAGCAUGGAGGGAUUUUGAUGUAACUUGGCACAAUUGUUCACCAUCAUGAGACGGAGUGUCAUGUGCAAGAACCUAGAAUUAUGUCCCUUUGUUGUUACUAUAAAUUAAUAGCGUAUAUUGUAACUUUUUUAUUACUGGUCGUAGGGAAAAAUCAAGACCACUUUUCUGUAGUACAGUAUGCAUGUUACAUCCAACUUUGAGGUGUAUUUUGACCUAUCUCUGCUGGUAAGGAUUUUUGUGUGGACAUAGAUUUUUUUUAAAGAUUUACUUCCCUUUGUUUUUACUAUAAAUAACUUCUAUUGUAACUUUUUGCAAUCAUUUUUUAUUUGGCAUAAAUGUUUGCCUCAAUGAGAUUGUGUGUCAUGUGCAACUCCUAGUCCUUUUGACAGCUGGCGGGCUGGACAUGUUGCCCGUGGGCAUCUAGUUUAUAUAGUUAUAUAGAAAACUUUGAAAAUCAUCUACUGUGAAACUGCUGGCCUGAUUUUGCAAUAGUUUAACAGCAAUAUUCCUAUACCAGAUUUUCUUGUUAUUGUGAUUUUUCUGAAAACAUGAUGCCCUCGUGAAAUUAUUACACUUGACAAAUAACUGCCCAUCAUGAUUGUAUAAAUAAAUUUAAAAACCUAAAAUACUGUAUGCUAUAUAUUAUUUCAGAAUGAUAUCUGUAUAUAAAAAUCUGAUAGAAUUCAUAAAUUGUUGUUAUAUACAUGUAUAAAUUCUGUCAAAAAUAAAGCUUGUAUUUCACAAGGAAAUACGAACAGGCUGAAAAAAAUCCUGUAUUGUACCUUCCAAAAUUCUGUAUUGUAUCUUCCAUAUUGUAUGUUGCUGGACUACUUUCAUUAAUAUGCAUGAGCCGACACAGCUAUAUAAAACAUCUCUCAAUUCAUUUUAAAGCGACUAACCCACACAUCGUGGUGUAAGAUUUUAAAAAAUCAAACGUUUGCUAUAUUCACCGACAUGCUGCAUAUAUUCGAUGUCCUUACAAUGUAUUUUUAACCAGGUUUUCAACGAAAACCUGAGUUAUUAGAUUGGGGUAUGUCGUUGGUUGGGUGGGUGGGCGGAUGGCGGCGUCAAACUGGUGUUUCCGGUCAAUAACUUUUGUUUCGGUAAAGAUAUUUGAAUAAAACUUGGUAUGUAUGUAGCUAAUAUCAAGACAAAGGCUGGGAUUGAUUUUGGGGUUUCUGGGGUCAAGGUCAAGGUCACUGUUACUUAAAAUAGAAAAAGGGUUUCCGGUCAAUAACUUAACUUAGGAAUGAGCUAUCAUGAUGAAACUUGGUGUAUAGAAAACUUAUAUAAAGUUGUAGCUUGGGAUUGAUUUUGGGGUUUCUGGGAUCAAGGUCAAGGUCAUUGUUACUAAAAAUAGGGUUAGGGUUAGGUUAGGGUUAGGGUUAGCAUAUCUUCUACAUGCAUGGAGGGAUUUUGAUGAAAGUUGGCACAAUUGUUCACCAUCAUGAGACGGAGUGUCAUGCGCAAGAACCAGGUCCCUAGGUCUAAGGUCAAGGUCAUACUUAGAGGUCAAAGGAUACAAGAAUGAAAACUUUGUCCGGAGCAUAUCUUCUUCAUGCAUAGAGGGAUUUUGAUGUAACUUGGCACAAUUAUACACCAUCAUGAGUCGAAGUGUCUUGCACAGUUCCCUUCUUUAGAAUUACUUCCCUUUGUUGUUACUAUAAAUAGCUUAUAUUGUAACUUUUUCAUUACUAGACGUAGGGAAAAAUCGAGACCACUUUUCUGUAGUACAACAUGCAUGUUACAUCCAAUUUUGAGGUGUAUUUUGACCAAUCUCUACCUGGUAAGGAUUUCUGUGUGAACUUACAA
This is a long non-coding RNA of Mercenaria mercenaria, 5667 nucleotides long. RefSeq lists it as uncharacterized. The transcript has 7 exons. NCBI's taxonomy places the organism in Eukaryota, Metazoa, Mollusca, Bivalvia, Venerida, Veneridae. The record is from RefSeq and is a predicted model, not a curated record.